CAGUAGCCGCGUUAAUACGUAGGUGGCAAGCGUUGUCCGGAAUUAUUGGGCGUAAAGGGCUCGCAGGCGGUUUCUUAAGUCUGAUGUGAAAGCCCCCGGCUCAACCGGGGAGGGUCAUUGGAAACUGGGAAACUUGAGUGCAGAAGAGGAGAGUGGAAUCCCACGUGUAGCGGUGAAAUGCGUAGAGAUGUGGAGGAACACCAGUGGCGAAGGCGACUCUCUGGUCUGUAACUGACGCUGAGGAGCGAAAGCGUGGGGAGCGAACAGGAUUAGAUACCCCCGUAGUCCCUGUCUCUUAUAC
This 301-nucleotide ribosomal RNA is filed under the name uncultured bacterium. Its description in RNAcentral is "partial 16S ribosomal RNA". It matches the Rfam family "Bacterial small subunit ribosomal RNA", at positions 509 to 807 of the family's 1533-position model. The record is from RNAcentral.